GCCUGGGUGGCUCAGUCGGUUAAGCAGCUGACUUUGACUCAGAUCAUGAUCCAGGUGUCCUGGGAUCGAGUCCCACAUCAGGCU
RNAcentral lists this transfer RNA (84 nucleotides) under Mustela putorius furo (domestic ferret). It matches the Rfam family "tRNA". From Rfam's summary of the family: Transfer RNA (tRNA) molecules are approximately 80 nucleotides in length. Their secondary structure includes four short double-helical elements and three loops (D, anti-codon, and T loops). Further hydrogen bonds mediate the characteristic L-shaped molecular structure. tRNAs have two regions of fundamental functional importance: the anti-codon, which is responsible for specific mRNA codon recognition, and the 3' end, to which the tRNAs corresponding amino acid is attached (by aminoacyl-tRNA synthetases). tRNAs cope with the degeneracy of the genetic code in two manners: having more than one tRNA (with a specific anti-codon) for a particular amino acid; and 'wobble' base-pairing, i.e. permitting non-standard base-pairing at the 3rd anti-codon position. The record is from Rfam by way of RNAcentral. Lineage: Eukaryota; Metazoa; Chordata; Mammalia; Carnivora; Mustelidae.